RNAcentral lists this ribosomal RNA (242 nucleotides) under uncultured bacterium. RNAcentral's name for it is "partial 16S ribosomal RNA". It matches the Rfam family "Bacterial small subunit ribosomal RNA", at positions 111 to 354 of the family's 1533-position model. The record is from RNAcentral.
UAACGCGUGAGGAACCUGCCUUUCAGGGGGGACAACAGCUGGAAACGGCUGCUAAUACCGCAUAACACAUAGGUGUCGCAUGGCAUUUAUGUCAAAGAUUUAUCGCUGAGAGAUGGCCUCGCGUCUGAUUAGCUAGUUGGUAGGGUAACGGCCUACCAAGGCGACGAUCAGUAGCCGGACUGAGAGGUUGGCCGGCCACAUUGGGACUGAGAUACGGCCCAGACUCCUACGGGAGGCAGCAG